GCGGAUGUGGCGGAAUUGGCAGACGCGCUAGAUUUAGGUUCUAGUUCCGAGAGGAGUGAAGGUUCAAGUCCUUUCAUCCGCACUA
Molecule: transfer RNA, 85 nt
Filed under: Nostoc piscinale CENA21
Lineage: Bacteria; Bacillati; Cyanobacteriota; Cyanophyceae; Nostocales; Nostocaceae
Also listed under: 3 other names
Description: tRNA-Leu
Rfam family: tRNA
About the family: Transfer RNA (tRNA) molecules are approximately 80 nucleotides in length.
Source: RNAcentral